This is a long non-coding RNA of Magnolia sinica, 371 nucleotides long. RefSeq lists it as uncharacterized. The record is from RefSeq and is a predicted model, not a curated record. Lineage: Eukaryota; Viridiplantae; Streptophyta; Magnoliopsida; Magnoliales; Magnoliaceae. The transcript has 3 exons.
CUCACAUUAAAGUUCACAAUUAUGAGAGGUGGGUCCACAGUUAUAGAGACCCAUUAUUCUGUUUUGAAAUUUGCGCAAUACAUUUGGGCUCAUCCAAUUGCAGGGCGGCACGUACCAGGAACCUUCAGGUUCUAUUUAUGAACACAGGAUGCAUUUUGAAAAGGACAAAGCAUUAGCUCGACGAUUCCAACCUGUGUUGAUUGGUCCCAAGCCCGGGUAAGGGAGGAGGGAAAAGGGCGUUAAGAUCAAUCCGAGGCCAUGACAAUGCCAAGAACAACCACCUAGUGACUUCUCUAAUGCUCAGUUCUGGUUUCUGGAGCGACUACUUGUUGUCCAUGGGCACUAGUGCUAUAAGAGGAUUACCCAAAUGG